Populus euphratica (Euphrates poplar) is the source of this 217-nucleotide long non-coding RNA. RefSeq lists it as uncharacterized. NCBI's taxonomy places the organism in Eukaryota, Viridiplantae, Streptophyta, Magnoliopsida, Malpighiales, Salicaceae. The record is from RefSeq and is a predicted model, not a curated record. The transcript has 2 exons.
CAGAUCAUGAUGAACCUAUCAUGGAGAAAAAUCUGCCCAGUAAUGAUGAGCCUUCGAAGUUGGUAGACUGACAGAAAAAACAACAUCAUCACAUGAUCAGAGAAAAAGAAAACCAGAAAUAGAGUAAUGAUGAAACUUCUUAGUUCUCAGCAUGGUCAAAACACAUCAUGAUUACGCCAAUCUGCAUAUAACCCUAAAGACUAAAAUGAAAAAACCC